RNAcentral lists this unclassified non-coding RNA (163 nucleotides) under uncultured Mortierella. RNAcentral describes it as "sequence contains ITS1". The record is from RNAcentral. Lineage: Eukaryota; Fungi; Mortierellomycota; Mortierellomycetes; Mortierellales; Mortierellaceae.
UAAUAAAGUGUUUUAUGGCACUUUUUAAAAAAUCCAUAUCCACCUUGUGUGCAAUGUUAAGAUCUCAUCAGUCAAGUAAUAUUUUCUGAUGGGAUUUUUUAUACAUCAACUCAUUCUUGAACUAAUUUGUCUGAAAAAUAUUAUGAAUACUUAAUUCAAAAUA